Mauremys reevesii (Reeves's turtle) is the source of this 1501-nucleotide long non-coding RNA. RefSeq lists it as uncharacterized. The transcript is spliced from 3 exons. The record is from RefSeq and is a predicted model, not a curated record. NCBI's taxonomy places the organism in Eukaryota, Metazoa, Chordata, Testudines, Geoemydidae.
GGAGACAAACACCUCCUGCCCACUGCUGGGGCUGGAGCCUCAGGAGGGCCCCUGCUGCAUUGAGGACCUGCCUGAGCUGCCAGAGCCACCAGAUGACGGGCACCGAAGAGCUCCCAGGACUGCCAGUAGCAGAGUACCCCAUGGAGAUGGAAGAUGACUCCGAGCCACAGACCCAAAUACAGGAGGGGCAGCAGGAAUCCAACUUUGCCCAGCAGCGAAGCUUGCAUACAUCACACAGAGAGAGAGCUGUUCCAGAAGGGCAUAGAGUUUACUGCUAUAUGGGAACAGCAGAAAACACUCUUUAGAGGAUUUGCGCUGUGAUUUUUGACUGGGGCUGGAGCCAUGCCUGCAAAAGCUUGGGAAUUUCAGUCCAGUCUGAGGAAAAAUCCCCUAUGAUUGUCUGCCUUGUCCACUUUUCAGCCUCUGGGGAAGAGCCUCCAAUCAGAACAAUUACAAGAAGCAUCCAAGAACUUUUUGAGGAGUGGAGAGGGAGCUGGCAACACCACUCUUAUAGGAGGGAGUAGGGAGCAGACAGACCCCAGCAACUCAGGGAGGCCUGGCUCUCUGGGCCUCCUUCCAUGCUGUGAACAAUAGAUCAGUCUGUUCUCUGUUAUACCCCCUCCUCUUUUCAUCCCUGUCACACCAAGCUUGAGAAGGGGAUGAAGAGCCUCUGAAGCCCCUUGUGGGUGGACAGGCUGUGUUCAAAAAUCAAAAGGCAGUCAAAAACCACAGCAUAACCUUUUUCUAAAUGUCCUUAUUUUGGGGAUGAUCUCGUGAUUUUUUUGGUGUCUGACCCAUGAUUUUUGAACUUGUGGGAGAGGCAUUACUGCAUACAGGGCAUUUGGAACUGAAAGUGACAACACAAACUUUACUACAAAAGGUAACAUAGUCUUAGGGUUAGAGCCUCGCUCCCACUCCAGCCCCUUUACACUGGGAAAAAGGGCCAGGGUGGCAUAAAGGGCUCUAAAAGCCUUGAAUCCAGUGGAGGGAGGAUUGCCCAAGUACUGGAACUGUGGAAGGCAGCUAAAAGGCUGACUUCUGACAACUCAGCAGCUGGGCUGGAGCAGGAGGGAGCACUAAGGAGAUUGUAGGAAGGACUUCUACCCAUGUGUCAUGGAGUCAUGGGGUAUGGUUGAUGCCCCAGCCUGUAACCAGUAGUUUGCCAGGAGUGGACCUGAGGACCCACACAGUUCCAGAAGGGCAGGCCUGUGGCCUCCAUGACUCCUGAGACUGGUCCUUUAGCACCAGUGAUCCCUGUGUCUUUCUGUGGCUCCCUGCAGCAAAUCCAGCCAAGCCAGAGUCCUGCAAGAGCUUGCACUGUGUCCCUUCAGGGUGCAAUGCUCUCAGUGAGAAGCCUUGAUGAUAUAAUAUAAGUGAUAGAAAUGAAGUUACAAAAGAAUACAAACGUCAGACAAAUAGGAUUAUUCUGCUCAGUUUUUACUAUACAACUGAUUUCACAAUGACUAGAAAACAGUAAAGGCUAAAUUCUGUGCUGGUGACC